This 429-nucleotide ribosomal RNA is filed under the name Gemmatimonadota bacterium. Its description in RNAcentral is "Gemmatimonadetes bacterium partial 16S ribosomal RNA". It matches the Rfam family "Bacterial small subunit ribosomal RNA", at positions 355 to 776 of the family's 1533-position model. The record is from RNAcentral. Lineage: Bacteria; Pseudomonadati; Gemmatimonadota.
UAGGGAAUCUUCGGCAAUGGACGAAAGUCUGACCGAGCAACGCCGCGUGAGUGAAGAAGGUUUUCGGAUCGUAAAACUCUGUUGUUAGAGAAGAACAAGGACGUCAGUAACUGAACGUCCCCUGACGGUAUCUAACCAGAAAGCCACGGCUAACUACGUGCCAGCAGCCGCGGUAAUACGUAGGUGGCAAGCGUUGUCCGGAUUUAUUGGGCGUAAAGCGAGCGCGGGCGGUUUCUUAAGUCUGAUGUGAAAGCCCCCGGCUCAACCGGGGAGGGUCAUUGGAAACUGGGGGACUUGAGUGCAGAAGAGGAAAGUGGAAUUCCAUGUGUAGCGGUGAGAUGGGUAGAUAUAUGAAGGAACGCCAGUAGCGAGGUCGGCUCUCUGGUCUGUAGCUGACGCUGAGGAUCGAGAGCGUGGGGAGCAAACAGG